CUGAGCCGAAGGCAGAUGCUUAACCGCUGUGCCACCCAGGAGCCCCUGUUGCCCUGUUUCUAGAAGAUGGCCAGCCAAUGGUUUCAAAUCUUCUGUGUUAGGACAAGUUCACCAGAAGGCCAUCUCGGGGGAAAGAGUCCUGGAGUGGAAUCCACCCUCAUGUCACCCAGUGAUGCAGCACCACCCAUACCAGACAGAAUGUGACGGUCAGUCUCCAAGCUCUACACACCAUUCUCCGGAAGUCAAUCCUACCAGGAGAACAGGAAGCGCUGGUCGUGCUGCUCCCCGUCAGUCCCUGAGUUGCAAUUUUUUGCUCUCCAAGUUCCCCAUCCUGACGCCUCCUUAACUGGCUUUGUCUCCUUCCAGUACCCAUACAUCCUGGGCUUCUGAGUUAGCCACAUUCCCUUUGGUCCUGUUUUGAGAACCUUGCCCAUCCGAGAACUGGCUGCUGGCUUACUUUUGUCCGUUGAUGUCUCUAGGGUCUGCAUCCUUGAGUGAUGGGCGGGACCAAGAAACCUCCACGUGGUCCACCUUCAGAUGCAGACUACAUCUGUUUUGGAUUCUCAUACUCUUCUCCCCCCAGUGGGAUCAUUCCUGCUUUUUGAACUAUGUCACUGUAAUUCCUUUAUUCUAUCAUAAUUGGACACCAACUCUUUGAAACACAUUAUUGCCUUGGGGUGAAGAGCAGGAUAAGAAUGACGGAGAUUUUUAUCUCUAAAAAAUAUAAGUCAGAUCAUCUCUCUCUCUUGCUUCAAAUCUUCUAAAGGCUUUACAUCACACUUAGAAUAAAAUCUCAACUCUUUUCCAUGGCUUGCAAAGAUCAACAUAAUGUGGCCACUGCCUACUUCUCUUCUUAAACAAGUCAGACUUGUUCCUGCCUCAAGGCCUUUGAACUUGCCUGCUCUCUUCCCUUAGAUCUUCACAUUUCUGGAUUUUUCACUUCAUGCAAGUUUCAGUUUAAGUGUAACCUCUAGGAAGAAACCUUCCCGACUACCCUGUCUAAAUCAGCCCUCUUCGCCGCUGCUCAGCCCUCAUCAAUACGGUGUUUUUUCAGUCUUCCUAGCACUUAAUAAAUGCCCUCAAGAAUAUUGUGUGUAUUUAUUUGCUUCCCUUGUU
Long non-coding RNA from Ailuropoda melanoleuca (giant panda), 1116 nucleotides. RefSeq lists it as uncharacterized. The record is from RefSeq and is a predicted model, not a curated record. The transcript is spliced from 3 exons. NCBI's taxonomy places the organism in Eukaryota, Metazoa, Chordata, Mammalia, Carnivora, Ursidae.